CACAGGGUAUGACUUUGCUCCCCUAAAAGGGAGAUCGAAUGCUAUGAAUGGUGUUCAUAGCCUGUGAAAUGAUGCUUUAAGGAGUUUGCAAUAUGAUAAGAGAGCAGAUAGCCGGACAUGAUCUUAUCCUUUCAAGAGGGACAAAAGGUUACUACUAGUGAUGGUGACCUAUGAAAUAGUAUCCCAAAUGGGACUAUAGAGUGAGGUAAAGAGUUGUUAGCUUAGGUAUUCUAGAGAGGGUACAAGUUUCAUUGUAGGAAUCAUAAGUGAUCAGAUCAUGAUAGAUGUAAAGCCUUUGAAUUGAAUAAAUAUCUUAAGUUUUGGCUAAUUGAGUGGAUAUGAAAAAAUAGAAUCCCUGCAGAUCCCCUUCUUAAGGUAGUAGGAGAUAGUAUGUAGUCUAAAGGAUAAGGACAGAGAUCAUACAAUAAAUGCGUGGCUGCAAUUCUCUAAGUUCCUUUUCAACUUCUUAUUACUCGAGAAAAGAGUAUGCUCUAAACAAAUGAUAUUAAGGGCAGUAAGUCAGCAAAGGCAAAUUACAGAAUGUCAGUAAAUAUAAAAAGCGUAGAAGUGAAAAUUUUGACAGUUGAUUGCAGAUGCAGCAUAACCCGAAUGUCAGUAGAAAUACUAGUUAGAGUGAUCAAAGGACUAAUUCUGAGUAACAUUGAGGUGUAGAUGACUUGGUAGAGACAGUAAAAAGGUACAAGUUUCUAACAUGACAGUCAAGUCAAGAAAGAGAAUAGAGUUAAAGAAUAAAAUAGUCAAAGUUCAAAUUUGGAUAAGAUAAAAAGAGUUAGCUAAAGAACAAACUGAAAGGCCCAAAUUAUGAUAAGAUUUGGAAGAUUAGAGUCAGGAUACAGAGGAGACAAAAUGCAGUUCUAGAAAAAGUAAACGAUCUCUUUGGGGGGUGUGGGGCAACGCCUUCGCGAUAUGAAUUAGUAUAAAUAUUAUAAUAUUCUGUUACUUGUGGUAGAGUUAUGACAUAUUCAAGAAACACACUAGAGUUAGGUUUGAGAGUUCUGAAUGAUUGUAUCUUGCUCUUUUCAUC
Molecule: unclassified non-coding RNA, 1045 nt
Filed under: Hevea brasiliensis (rubber tree)
Lineage: Eukaryota; Viridiplantae; Streptophyta; Magnoliopsida; Malpighiales; Euphorbiaceae
Source: RNAcentral